AGCGAACGCUGGCGGCAGGCUUAACACAUGCAAGUCGAGCGGGCAUCUUCGGAUGUCAGCGGCAGACGGGUGCGUAACACGUGGGAACGUACCCUUCGGUUCGGAACAACUCUGGGAAACUGGAGCUAAUACCGGAUACGCCCUUAUGGGGAAAGGUUUACUGCGGAAGGAUCGGCCCGCGUCUGAUUAGCUAGUUGGUGGGGUAACGGCCUACCAAGGCGACGAUCAGUAGCUGGUCUGAGAGGAUGAUCAGCCACUCUGGGGCUGAGACACGGCCCAGACUCCUACGGGAGGCAGCAGUGGGGAAUAUAGGACAAUGGGCGCAAGCCUGAACCAGCCAGGCCGCGUGAGUGAUGAAGGCCUGAGGGUUGUAAAGCUCUUUUGUCCGGGACGAUAAUGACGGUACCGGAAGAAUAAGCCCCGGCUAACUUCGUG
This 435-nucleotide ribosomal RNA is filed under the name uncultured bacterium. Its description in RNAcentral is "partial 16S ribosomal RNA". It matches the Rfam family "Bacterial small subunit ribosomal RNA", at positions 29 to 507 of the family's 1533-position model. The record is from RNAcentral.